Long non-coding RNA from Homo sapiens (human), 3939 nucleotides. RefSeq lists it as uncharacterized. The record is from RefSeq and is a predicted model, not a curated record. The transcript is spliced from 2 exons. Lineage: Eukaryota; Metazoa; Chordata; Mammalia; Primates; Hominidae.
UUCUCUCACAAUAGGGAUUACAAUUCAACAUGAGAUUUGGGUGGGGACACAAAUCCAAACCAUAUCACCCGCUAUGAUUGUGGGAGGAUCAAUCAAAUCAGCCAGCAGGUGGGAAGCACUUAGCACAGUGUUAUGUGGCAGGCACUUAAUAAAUGCUUGCUGGAACUAAGGCAAGAAUUAGGUACAGGAAGUGAGACAUCAAGGCCAGACAACAAACCUGUUUUGCUGAGCAUUUUGUCCAAGUGCUCUUAAAAUACUUUUGUCUGGGAUUGGUUUCUUUGUGCAGGACUGGGAUUAGAACUAAGAGGCCCCUCCAUGGGGAACUGCAGGCUCCAGGAGCCAGGCUGCCAUCUCAGAAACCACCGGGUCUUUUGACUCUCCCAAAGCUAUCUAUAGCCCACAAUGACACACAGUAGGUGCUCACUAAGUAUCUGUUGAAGCAUCAAUGCACUUAACAGAGGGAUGUGAACAACCUGACUCCCAGGAGCUACUGAACAGUAAAACACUGAGGUUUGCUUUAGUCAGACAAGCUUUGUCUUCUCGGAACAAACAAAAAAACAAUAAAAAUAAAUCAGACAAGGCUUUGUUUCUGAAAGACACUGAACAAAUACACUUGAGGUAUUAUCUCAAGAAAAAUCAAUGUCUUUCCCAUCCACCGGUGUACGUGCCUUUGGCAUUGACUUGGAAACACUGAAACCCUCCUGGCCCAGUGCUCUCUUGAGUCCACAGGCUGAGAAUACCAGUUCCAGCAUUCCCAGCUGGCCAAGCCGAUGAGAACUCAUUUCCUUCUUGGAGUGCAGAGCCAUCACUGCAGGAAGAAAAAGUGGAUGAGGAAGACCCUUUGGACAUCGUCAAAAGAGGCAUUGUUAGCAAAUGACGGGGGGCCAGUCCUGAAAGCCUGUGAGGCUGUGAGCAACUCUCCCACCUGCUCUUCUCUGUCUGUCCUACUCCUCAUGACAAUGACUCUUAUCCUGGAGGGCCUGCAGUAGCGUUUGACACACGUACCUCAUUUAAUUCUCACAAGAGUUCUAUGAAACAGGCUAGGAUUUGGCAAACCAUUGUCAGCUACCUGUUUUUGUAAAUAUAGUUUUAUUGGAACAUAACCACCACAAUUUAUUUACAUAUUGUCUAUAGCUGCUUUUACUCUACAAUGGCAGAGUUGAGUAGUUGUGACAAAAGCUCUAGGCCCUGAAAAGUGCAAAAUAUUUAUUUUACUAUGUGGCCCUUUACAGCAAAGGUGUGUUGACCCCUCAGAUAAAUGGGACAUUGCUCCCACUUUACAUAUGAGGCACAGAAAAGCUAAGCGCAUUGACUGAGAUCAUUUGGGUUAUAAAUUAUAGUGUCAGAGAUGUCUCGGACCCAGAGACAACUGUUCCCUAUGCUUUUCUCCUCCCUACCUUAUAGCAUCUCCUACUCUUUCACAUUCAUUUGUUCCUACUAAAUGUGUCAGCCAAAAAGAACACAUUCAUUUGCACUGAACAAGACGUCUCAGGUUGACCAUCACACAGAAGUCAACAGGAGGUUCUGGAGACUUGCAGAAAGUGAUCAUCCAGCAUAUCCUCUCCUCUCCUCUCCUAGCCCCUAAGGACUGAUUCGUAGUCUGCCCAGAGUUUAUAAGAGAGACAGUCAUCCAACAUGAAUAGAGAUGGCCUGAGCAGGCAUGGGCUCUUUGAAAUUCGGAGAGAUCAGCUCAAAGAUACACUGGGAAGAACCAGGUUGCCCCAAGCAAAAGGCAACAACUGCCCUUGGUUGAGCAAGAUUCCUUGGGAAGCUUAUUGGAGGCCCCACCUCUAAGGACAGGCCCACAUUUGCCUUGUCUGCCAUUCUUCCCUUACUGAUGUAUUCUGACCCUGUCUUGGCUUGAUUUAUCUUUGAUGUCUUUGAUGUUGCUCAUGACCAUGCUGCCUUCUUCCUGGGAGUUCCCAUCUGGUCCUGGUUUCUGCUUCUCUUGCCUUAGCUCAUACUCAAACCCUGUGGGUAACAGCCCACGUGCAACAGUGGUCUGCAGCUCCUGAGGGCUGUUGAAAAGAUUGCUUCAUUCAAUGCCAUAAAAAUAUCCAAGAAUACAGCAAUUGUUAUAGAAAUUAUGGUAAAUCUGCACAAUGAAAUAUUAUGCAGCCACUAAAACGGACAUCAAUUCAGAUUUCUAAAUGACACAAUGUAGCAGAGACAGGGCCAGGUUCAUGGGUGUGGGUCCUACACAGUCAUACAGGGCUCCACACUUACAAGGGCCCUACACUUGGUUUAAUGCUCCAUGGCUGCCACCUUGAAAUUCUGAAUAGUUUUAUAACAAGAGUCCUCCACAUUUACAUUUCACAUUGAGCCUAUAAAUUGUUAGCUAGUCCUGAGCAGAGAUGACUCUGAGUGCCCAUUUUCUCCUGUCUUUUAGUAAUAGAACCUCCUCCCUUUGCUUCAUACAUACACCCUGACUAGUGUUUCCACGCUGGAAUUCCUUCCCAGUAUUUCUUGAGAAUUUUUUAUGUUUCUCCAAAUCUCGAAAGAAAAAUCAGUCAAGAAAUUGGGAAAAAGUAUUGUAAUUAUCCUGCAGGAAUCAAGGCUUAAUGAUCAACAUAAAGACAUCACUGGUUUGAAUCCAUCAAUGUCAAAUGAAAAGCAAGAGCAGGAAAGGCUGGCAGGUGGAAGAGCAUAUAGCACAUAGGAGAGCACAUAGGUCAAGAGCUGAUCAGUCAAUCUUGCUUGUAGCCAUUGUCCUGUUCUAAGUGUGUGUUCUUGGCCCUGACUGAUGCUAAUGGCAAGUCAUUCUUGGAAAUAAAAUAAGCAGUAUUAGGUUUAUAUGUAUGUAUACUUUAUUCAAAUCCUGCUAGUGAUGUUCUAGGAAAUAACAAAUUUGGGAAGCAAAAUACGCCCUUAAUUGGCAAUUUCAAUGUGUGAUUCUGUGUAGUGCUUUAACCUUGCUAGGAGAUCUGAAUGUCACAUUCUUUGAAUAUUACCCAAAAAUGUUCACUGGUAUUUUCUAAUGUUUGAUUUUUUUUUUAUCUCAGGCUAUAGUUGUUUAUAAAUUUGCUAAAUGUAAUAUUUCUUAUUUAUUAAACCAAUUUCUUUUAGAUAUCCACAGUAAUGACUAAAGAGUAUAAAAAUUGCUGGAAGUCUUUUAUUUUCUUCUUGUUACUUAGUUUUCAUUUUGUAAUUAUAAACUUAACUCUGCGAUCCAGCUAGACAUGGAAGAGGAUAAGGAAAAUAUGGAACCCAAAGGACUGUGCAAAGAUUAUAGGAUGCUGUGAGCAAAUGGGGUGGAAGCAUGCUUUCCUGAGCUAUAGAAGGAACGAUCUGGUGGUUCAGAUAAAACAAUCAAAUUUAUUAGAGUUGUCCACAGUCAGCAGCUGUGAUCUUCUUGCUGGUCUUACCAUUCCUGGACCCAGAGCGUUCCAGGGCUUCCACAAUACUCAUGCCAUCUUUCACCUUGCCAAAGACCACAUGCUGUCAUCCAUCCUCUGUCUUGGCAGUACAGAAGAAAAACUGGGAACCAUUUGUGGUGGGUCCAGCAUUUGCCGUGGACAAGACGCCAGGAGCUGUAUGCUUAGGAUGAAGUUCUCAUCAUCAAAUUCCUUGCUGUAGAGGGACUUGCCACCAGUGCCAUUAUGGUGUGUGAAGUCACCACCCUGACACACACCCCGGAAUAAUUCUGUAAAAGCAGGGACAUUUAUCACCAAAUACUUUCUCUCCAGUGUUCAGAGCACAAAAAUUUUCUUCCAUCUUUAGAACUUUGUCUGCAAAUAGCUUGAAGGAGAUGCAGCCCAAGGACUCACUAUCAAUUGCAAUGUUGAAGAACACAGUGGGGUUGGCCAUGGCUGGUGGCAGGGAGUUCUGGGCAGCAGCGAUGUCUGCAAAUGGAAGUCUUUUCAGAAUAACACGAGUUUAUCUUUAUAACAAACCUAUACAUGUAUCCCUGAACCUAAAAUAAAAGUUUUUUUUUUAAAA